This 64-nucleotide transfer RNA is filed under the name Cavia porcellus (domestic guinea pig). It matches the Rfam family "tRNA". Rfam says of the family: Transfer RNA (tRNA) molecules are approximately 80 nucleotides in length. Lineage: Eukaryota; Metazoa; Chordata; Mammalia; Rodentia; Caviidae. The record is from Rfam by way of RNAcentral.
GGGGAUUUAGCUCAGCCACGUAAGCACCUGCCUUGCAAGCAGGCGGUCGUGAGUUCAAUCCCCG